This 390-nucleotide ribosomal RNA is filed under the name uncultured bacterium. RNAcentral's name for it is "bacterial SSU rRNA". It matches the Rfam family "Bacterial small subunit ribosomal RNA", at positions 29 to 416 of the family's 1533-position model. The record is from RNAcentral.
AGCGAACGUUUGCGGCGGGCUUAACACAUGCAAGUCGAACGGGCUGUUCCUUCGGGGGCAGUCAGUGGCGCACGGGUGCGUAACACGUAGGUAAUCAACCCUCUGGUUGGGGAUAACACUUCGAAAGGAGUGCUAAUACCCGGUAUGGCGCAGCGGUCUUCGGAUCGCGGCGAGAAAGACCCGCAAGGGUUGCCAGAGGACGAGCCUGCGGCCCAUCAGCUAGUUGGCGAGGUAACGGCUCACCAAGGCGAAGACGGGUAGCUGGUCUGAGAGGAUGAUCAGCCACACUGGAACUGAGACACGGUCCAGACUCCUACGGGAGCAGCAGUGGGGAAUAUUGCGCAAUGGGCGAAAGCCUGACGCAGCCACGCCGCGUGAGCGAUGAAGGCC